RNAcentral lists this unclassified non-coding RNA (361 nucleotides) under Hevea brasiliensis (rubber tree). Lineage: Eukaryota; Viridiplantae; Streptophyta; Magnoliopsida; Malpighiales; Euphorbiaceae. The record is from RNAcentral.
GUUAGGUAUGCCCUUCACAAGGGAGACAUGAAAUAUGUGUCAGAGCUAUUAGGUCGGAACCAUCGUCUUAUUUUAAUGAUGGAAGACCAAGAAAGGUUUACUAGUGAGAGAAAUAGGCUGUCUGCUCCAAAGUCUUGUUUGUUGAAUCUUGCACCUAAGGAAGGUCUUUAUGAGAAUUGUUCAGUUUUGAUUGACAAGAGUGUUAUUCCCUGCAGAGUAAUAGUUGAUACAACAUAUAUUCAUUUGGAAUCCUAUGAGGUAGCUAGUUUUUCCUGUGUUACUUCUCAAGACUUAAAGAUAUUGGGUAUUGACUUUGGCGGUCCAAAGUUAGAAGGGGUUCAAAUUUUGUAAUUCAUUCCCG